AUGAUACAGGAUGUGAGAAGUCUCCAAUAUGAAGAGCGAUUUGAGCAGUCUGCCUGGAGAGAAGCACAGAGAGCAGGAAAGAGCUGCAGAGAAUGAGUGAGGGAGAUAGACAGAGGAGAAAACCUGAGGGAAGAAAAUAGGGAGAGGGGAGAGUGGUAUUCGGGCCGAGACGAAAAAGCGCAUGCUUCAUUAAGUGAGGAAGUAAUCCUGGCUAAUUAAGGCUCUCCAUGACAGCACUGUCAAGGAUGACUGAUCCUUCAAAUGGCACCUCCCUCUCCUGACUGACAGCCAGCCUGCUCUCACUGCUUUGAAGUAUGUCUUGGCCGAUCAGAGGCGUCUGGCCGCCAGGACUCCUCUCAGCUCGCUCCCUGAAGACCUCUGGCUCCACAGAAACAGGAAAUGAAUGGGGCCAGAAGUAAACACGACCUUUGGGAUGAGGGGAACA
Molecule: long non-coding RNA, 445 nt
Organism: Acanthochromis polyacanthus (spiny chromis)
Lineage: Eukaryota; Metazoa; Chordata; Actinopteri; Pomacentridae
Exons: 3
Source: RefSeq, a predicted model, not a curated record